AACAGACCAACAGUAGAGUCCAGGCACCUUUCAACUGCAGACAGGGCUUUCUGUGGUCUUGCUGCAGAUUCCACUGUUAGCUCCAGACACACACUGGUUUGUGCUGCCCUGUCACACAACUCCAGGCCUUGACUCCUUGCUAUGCACACUGCCUAGUGGCUGUCUGCCGUCUUCAACAGUCUUCCCCACGUCUUAGGACAGUGCAGGCAUUGUUUCCUUGUGUUUCUGGAACACCUGCUCUUGCUUCUAACAAAAGAACAGCACUUAAGUUUAUUACAAUUAUUGGUUUACCUUCUGUGAUCCCAUUUUCUGCUUUAUACUUUUCAUAGGAUGUUUACCCCAUACUCCUCAAUUUGAAUGAAAGCGCUGGGAAGGGGGACUCUGCCUGGACUAAGCUGUGUCCCAGGCUUCUACAAGAGGCCCUGGCCUACAGUAGGUGCUCAGUAGAUAUUUGUGAAUUAAAUUCUGUCUGUGGCACUAGACUGCGAGCCAGUCUUUAAUCUCUGCAAUCCUAGCACCUUGCUCAGUGUCUGUCACUCUAAUGAUAGUUGGAUGAAUCACUGAGAUAUUUGACUUCAUAACCAGGUUUCGGUCCACUCAGCGCUCUUAGUGAGGAAGAAUUAGGCAAAUACAACCCUGAAAGGGAAAAAAGGAGCCAAAUGGGGGAACAGCAUGGAAACCUGGAAAAGAGCAGAGGAAACAGACACAUAGAGACUGGACAAUGGUGGGGACCAGGGGAAGUUGUCUUAGUCCUGAUGGUAAGAAAGGUAUCAAGAAGGGGAUAAUUGUUGAUUGUUUCUAAACAACUCAAUUCUUGUUGGUAGUUUCCAAAGACAGCCCAGAGAUCACCCAGGGCCAUCUCCACAACCUGCCCUCCCCUUGAAAUGGCUCUGCACACAGUCUAACCCAGAGAGAGCAUUAACCCAGUACCAUGGUUAGGAGGGCGGAUUCUAGAGUCAGAGGACCAGGUCUCCAAUCCUAGUCCCACGCCUGACUGACUUUUUCCUGGGGCAAAACGUUCAAAUCCCCUACUACCCCAGCCUCCUCAUCUGUAAAAGGCUGUAUGUACUAAUGGUACCUGAUCCUAGGGCUGUUGUGAUAAAUAUGGUAAUCCACACAAGGUGCUUAACACUGUGGCUGGCACCUAGUAAGUGAUUAGUUGUGGCCUGUGUGGCACGCACUCUGCUGGGAACUGGGUAUGUAUGAAAUAGCUAAGGGGCCAAGUGCAUAGACUUCGGAAUGAGAUACAUAUGGCCUGGAUUGGGAGCUCAGGGAAGUACUUAGCCUCUCUGAAUCUCACAUCAUCGAGUGUAAAGUGAGGAUAAUAGCAACUGUUUACUGAGGCACAUCCAUUUGCCUGUGAUCCACACAACCAUCCUAUAAGGAUAUUACCUCAUGUACUCAUCACACAGUUUCAGUAAGUGUCAACUAGCGAUCACUUUAUAACCUCUACCUACCCCUCACCCUUGCCUAUCCCCAGUACCCUGGUUAUUUUCACACAAACCCCAGAUAGAACAUCACUUCAUCUGUCAAUAUACCUUAUAAUGUUUGU
RNAcentral lists this long non-coding RNA (1552 nucleotides) under Homo sapiens (human). RNAcentral describes it as "HSALNT0180958". The record is from RNAcentral. Lineage: Eukaryota; Metazoa; Chordata; Mammalia; Primates; Hominidae.